This 221-nucleotide ribosomal RNA is filed under the name uncultured bacterium. RNAcentral describes it as "partial 16S ribosomal RNA". It matches the Rfam family "Bacterial small subunit ribosomal RNA", at positions 129 to 334 of the family's 1533-position model. The record is from RNAcentral.
CCCUCAGGUCUGGGACAACUCCGGGAAACUGGAGCUAAUACCGGAUAAGACCACAGAGUCCUCGAGCUCAGUGGAAAAAGAUGGCCUCUUCUUGAAAGCUAUUGCCUGUUGAUGAGCCCGCGUACCAUUAGCUUGUUGGUGAGGUAACGGCUCACCAAGGCGACGAUGGUUAGCUGGUCUGAGAGGAUGAUCAGCCACACUGGAACUGAGACACGGUCCAG